CGGAGGAUCCGAGCGUUAUCCGGAUUUAUUGGGUUUAAAGGGUGCGUAGGCGGCCUAUUAAGUCAGGGGUGAAAGACGGUAGCUUAACUAUCGCAGUGCCUUUGAUACUGAUAGGCUUGAAUGUACUUGAGGUAGGCGGAAUGUGACAAGUAGCGGUGAAAUGCAUAGAUAUGUCACAGAACACCAAUUGCGAAGGCAGCUUACUAAAGUAUGAUUGACGCUGAGGCACGAAAGCGUGGGGAUCAAACAGGAUUAGAUACCCUGGUAGUCCACGCCCUAAACGAUGAACACUCGAUGUUGGCGAUAUACGGUCAGCGUCUAAGCGAAAGCGUUAAGUGUUCCACCUGGGGAGUACGCCCGCAAGGGUG
RNAcentral lists this ribosomal RNA (368 nucleotides) under uncultured organism. RNAcentral describes it as "bacterial SSU rRNA". It matches the Rfam family "Bacterial small subunit ribosomal RNA", at positions 526 to 896 of the family's 1533-position model. The record is from RNAcentral.